CUCGGAAAACUACGUAAAUCAUCAUUCAAGGUGUACAUAUGAUAGUAUAAACUAAACGACGUCUCAAUUUUUAUCAGUAUCCUGUUGUUACUAUAAUCCCUCUCAACAAAUAACCACCCUCUGUCAUCUAGUUUCUGAUAUGUAGUGCAAAUACAUUGACGUAUAGAACGAGAAGAGGAACUACAUCUUAAAUCCUUUCUUUGAAAUUGUGCUUGCAACACUUUCCUCAAAACUUUAGCUAUAGGUCUUGAGGAAUACUCAGGAUUAAUAAGUUGUAAUAAUGGACGUAGAUGUUCUGGCAAAUUAGACCACAUCGGAUUUUCCGUAUGCACUGACAGAAUAAUCAAUACAAAACAUAAUAACACAUUACUGCAAGUCAUCUUGCAUACUAUGUUAGCUUCUUUACCCAGAUACAGUUAUGUUGAAAAUACCACUCGUUACGCAUGAUCUUGAGCAUGUGAAAUGUCUCUAUCAACAUGAAAAGAG
RNAcentral lists this long non-coding RNA (486 nucleotides) under Mytilus galloprovincialis (Mediterranean mussel). Lineage: Eukaryota; Metazoa; Mollusca; Bivalvia; Mytilida; Mytilidae. The record is from RNAcentral.